UACAUGCCAAGCAUUGUCUGGAACAAGGAAUGGUUGAGAAGGAUUGGAUUAAGCAGGCAAAUGUUUUGGUUUCUUAUCUUCCUUUAUAAGUUAUUAUUUUUCUGUGUUUAUUUUGUUUUGGGCUGGGAAGAAGGGGCAGUGGAAUAGGUCACUUAAAGAGGUGUUUUCUUCAAUGCAGUUGAUUGUAUAUUUGUAUAUGAUGUUAUGCUUUGUAUAAAUAGGUCCGGCCCUUUGAGAUUGUAUAAUUUUUUCUAGAUUUACUGGUGAUUUUUGUAGAUUGACAGCAAGAUUUUUUGACUCUGGUGACAGUAAAGGUUUAAGCAGAAACAGUACAGUGUACGUUCGUAACUACCACAUUAGCCACCACCAUGAGCACCCCCCCAAUGCUUUUGGAGGGUAAAAAUGUUGCACAGCCAUGAAGAUGGGGGAGGCAGAGUCACUGGUUUAUUCCAUUUGGUUUAAAAUCUUGGCAAGGAGGUUGAACACUCUCAGUGUAAGAAGUUAGAUCCGCAAUCAAGGACCCAGCAACAAGGCAUUGGCUCUGUCAAUGCUUUUCAACAUGUUGCUCCCCACUUUUCCGGUAUAAAUACUAUCUCCACUAGUUUAUUAGGGAUGUCAAUUUUAAUUUUCUAACAAUGUACCUACUA
Long non-coding RNA from Ipomoea nil (Japanese morning glory), 647 nucleotides. RefSeq lists it as uncharacterized. The record is from RefSeq and is a predicted model, not a curated record. Lineage: Eukaryota; Viridiplantae; Streptophyta; Magnoliopsida; Solanales; Convolvulaceae. The transcript has 3 exons.